Molecule: transfer RNA, 69 nt
Filed under: Sphaerodactylus townsendi
Lineage: Eukaryota; Metazoa; Chordata; Lepidosauria; Squamata; Sphaerodactylidae
Description: tRNA-Ala
Source: RNAcentral
GCUCUGGCUCAGUGGCACAGCAUCUGCUUGGCAUGAAGAAGGCCUCAGGUUCAAUUCAUGACAUCUCCA